Molecule: ribosomal RNA, 491 nt
Filed under: uncultured bacterium
Lineage: Bacteria
Description: bacterial SSU rRNA
Rfam family: Bacterial small subunit ribosomal RNA
Source: RNAcentral
AAAUGAAUAGACGGGGGCCCGCACAAGCGGUGGAGCAUGUGGUUUAAUUCGAUGCAACGCGAAGAACCUUACCAGGGCUUGACAUCCCUUGACGCCUCAGAAAUGAGGUUCCCCUUCGGGGCAAGGAGACAGGUGGUGCAUGGUUGUCGUCAGCUCGUGUCGUGAGAUGUUGGGUUAAGUCCCGCAACGAGCGCAACCCCUACGCUGUGUUGCCAGCACUUCGGGUGGGCACUCACAGUGGACUGCCGGUGACAAACCGGAGGAAGGUGGGGACGACGUCAAAUCAUCAUGCCCCUUAUGUCCUGGGCUACACACGUGCUACAAUGGUCGGUACAGACGGAAGCCAACCCGCGAGGGGGAGCGGAUCCGAGAAAGCCGAUCUCAGUUCGGAUUGCAGGCUGCAACUCGCCUGCAUGAAGUCGGAAUCGCUAGUAAUCGCAGGUCAGCAUACUGCGGUGAAUACGUUCCCGGGCCUUGUACACACCGCCCGU